UCUGGUCGCGUGGAAAUAGUGGGAAAUUUUGUGUAGUUCGGGAAUUUCCCCGACUGAUUAGCCAGCUGUGCAGAAUCGCUGAGUUUUCCGUGAAAAGUCGAAGAGACUGCGCGCUUUUCGAGGCAAUUUUCCCGAGGCAAUGCAUUUAGAAAAGUCGAACCAUCGGCUCCGUGUGCAGUGCUUACGGAAAAGCUCCCGAAGUCCCCGAAAAAGCUCGGGAGGGAAAGCUUGUGUCGCUUUGGCAGAUGCAACUUGGCAAGUCAAGCUGCUGCACCUACUACCUACGUUCAAAAUGGCGGCUCUGUCGGCGGAAUGCCGAUAAAUCAAAGUUCCUCAUUUUAAAAAUGCCAAGUGACCAACGCGCCAUCACACAGCAAAGGGCACAACAAUAGGGAUGGUGCUUUUCCUUGACAUUUAAGACACAUGACGGUAAGUGUCCCACUCAAUCAUCAACAAAGAAGUCGUGUUAAAGCGACUUAUCCUUUCAUGUAUACAUUUCCCUGAAAUCGCCUGCCUUUAAGGGGAUGCGAUCCGAGCCACUCAGCCACCGAAAAGUUAUUGCAACCCGAUCCUGUGUCGCUGGCUGUACAUAAAUACCAGAUACCAAAUACCAGUUCCAGUUUCCGCCGAUCGAGCCCAAGUUCAUUGGGAGUAGGGAGCGUGGAAUGGGCGAUGUCCGGCCUGACGUUUAUGAAAAGCCAUCGCAGCAUCAAAGCCAAUUAAGAUACUGGUGGACAUACAUACAAGCUCUAAAGGAAUACGCGGCUAAUUUCUGCGACAAAGCCGACAAACGAUCGAAUUCGAGUUGGGGCACAAGGAGAAGCGGCACUUUUGUCGCAAACACAGGCCGUAAAAUUAAGAACUCUGAUUGGUAACAAAUGUUUUUGUUCAUUCGAGUGAUAAAAACGUAGCGAACCGAAAAGAUAUAAAGUUCUCUUUAGUGUCUUGCCAGUGCGGCGAUGAUAAAAUAUUUAAAUGAGCGCCGAAAUGGUAAGGUUCUCGGCUUUGGCCCUGCUUGCGAUGGGAUCUGCUUGGAUCGAAGCGGACAUUUAGGAAAUCAGAGGGCCAUACCGAAAACCUUAAUGGCCGCGCACACGAACCUGGCCAACAAGCCCAAAAACAGUGGGCUUGAACAAGGCCCAAGGGCAAAAGUGUGAAACAUCGAGCGGCGUAACGCCAAUAGCAUUCGUCGAUAACCACUGUGUGUAGCCGAGUAAGUCGGUCGGCUGUCAUGAUUAAACAAAAGUCCAAUGCCAGCUAGGAUAUUAAAUUACAGCCCAUAACAGCUAAGGACAGAGGUAAGGACCCAUUCCGGCGAGCGCCUUUGGAACCAGCCGACGACGUCGACCAAGCCCAAACCCAAACCCAAAAUCCAAAAGCCAAAAGGCUUGCUGCAGAUACGAGAAACGGCCACGACAAAAUCAUAAAAGGCAUAAACAGUUGUAAAGACCCAAACCACAAAGGGCGUAGAAUCAAAAUUGAGCACUAAAACGUUAUCGAGGUCGGCACAGAUUAACUAGCCUUUUUGCUGUUGACUUCGGGAUGGACGAGGGACAUACGGACAAGUGGACAUACGGACCAGCGAACAAACGGACGACAUUCAGGCAGAUAUACAGCGAGGAGCGGAGGAUGGGAAAGGGGCAUGGACUGCAGACAGGUCGACCUGUCGUGUAAUCCGGUCCUGCCUGGCAAUUAUAACCAUAUAUAGCCCCCGCUGGCGACGGUGCCGCGUUGACGACCCACAACCGAGUUAUUGUCCAAAAAAUUGUCAUUCACAACUGUCUCGCCGAUAAGAAACAAUUAUCAGGGGCAAAAGGACGGCGGUAGGAGCGAUCACAUUGAAUGGCGCCAGUUUCACAAUGAAUCUCCACGGAAAGGACUAGUCUUACGUUAAGAUUUCGUCAUGCCCUUUUAAAAUGUAGGUUACAUAAAUAUGUUUAUGGGUAUUAUGUUAUGGAGAGCGGGAAUGGCUGCUACCGAGAUCUUACGACGUGGGAAUGAGAUUACAGGAGCCUAAUGGCAUUUGUAAUAUUGCUAGAUCAGCUUUUUAAUUUCGUUAAUCUUUUAAAUAAUUAACUGGAGUCCGCGUUUAUGUAAUCAGUAUCCCAAAAGUAUGCAAGCUUCGUAAGCAAAAGGAUUUUAUAUAGCUAUGCUAUCACUUAAAUAAGUUAAUCUGGUGCCUUAUAACACGGCGUUAACUUUUCCACCCCAAAUUUCAUUUUAUGCUGCACCAACAUCGAUUGUGGGGAGUGUCCAAGACGCACUCGUCCUAAUGGCAGCCCUUCAAGGAACAUAAUUUACUCCACGUGUCGGGGAUUACAUAUUAACUACGCCACUGUGCUCAUUUGGGGGGCGUGGCGCUACAAACGUCGGCUGUUAAUCUUUAGCUGUGUGGAUAGGCAUUUAUAUAGCUAUUUAAGGAAGUGUGUGCUCACGUUUGUUUAUAUUACAAUCCUGGUUGUUGCCCUUCUUUUGUUUUGCACAAAAAUAAGUAUUAAAUAUCACUUUAGGGGAUGCCACUUAAAUCAAAUAGAAGCAUAUUUGCCCACAUCAAAUCUAGGAAUAGAACUACUUUAAAAAUUAUAGUAAUUUGAUAACUUAUUGAUAAGAAUCGGAAAAAUUAUACCCUUCAAUAACUAAGGUUCCAGUUGAAAAAAUAUUCAAAAAUUUAAAAAAAUAUUAAGCCCUAUAGUUAUUAUUGCUCCUUUGAAAAAAUACUUGAAAAUAAAUGUACCUUA
Molecule: long non-coding RNA, 2738 nt
Organism: Drosophila simulans
Lineage: Eukaryota; Metazoa; Arthropoda; Insecta; Diptera; Drosophilidae
Exons: 5
Source: RefSeq, a predicted model, not a curated record